AGUCACUGGGAACAUGCCUUUGGAGGGUAUAUCUCCUCUCUGGCUCUUUCACUUCUUUUCUGCUACCUGGAUGACAGGAAGUGAGCAACUUUCCAUGCCCUUCCACCAUGAUGUUUCUGCCUUGGAGCCAGCUAACCAUGGACUCAAACCUCUGAAACCAUGAGUCAAAAUAAACCUCUCCUCCUUUAAAUUGUUUUCUCAGGUAUUUGGUCAUAGGGACAAAAAGCUAAUAUAUUAAGCAAGGACCUUCAGGUAGAGAGGUUGUCCAGAAUUAUCGGGGUGGACCCAGUAUCAUCACAUGGGAUUUAGAAGCAAGACCUUUUCCAGCGGUAGACAGAGUGAGAUGCAACUGGAGAAGAGAGGCAGAGAGACUCGGUGUUGCUGACUUUGACGAUGGAGCCAGGAGGCCGUAAUCUGAGGGGCAGGGGCAGCCACUAGAAGCUGAGAAGGCCAGGAAACAGACUCUCCACUAAGGUUUACCAGAAGGGACAGCAGCCCUACCAUCACCUUGGCUGGGGCUCAGCGAGAUCCAAGUCGGACUUCUGACCUGUGGAACUGCAAGGUGAAAGAACCUCCUCAUACGACAAGCAAGGUACCUGGAUCAGAGAUGUGAAGCUGUCUCCCCAUGUCACACAGCUCAUAAGAAGCAGUCAACACUAGACCCCAAGCUCCCUGGUGAAGCACUCCAGAGUCUUCAAGACAGAAUCUCUCCACCUCCCUUCUCUGCUGCCAUUACUGAUGCUGAUGACAGUAACAGCAGUGGAUGGGGAGUGAAAGCGAAAGUCAGUGGCAACCUAUUGAAGGAAUUAGCACCCAUGCCCAGCUGGGAAGUGGAUUCAUCAUUUCCGUUUACCUUUCUGAGAAGGGAAAGAGCAGAAAAAGGUGCCAAGUGCUGCAAUGCUGUGACAUGGCAUCGGAUUUUGCACACAGAACAGCCCAUAUGUGAUGCUCUAUGUAUAGAACACCAGGCGCAGCUGAUUCCAAAAUCAUCCUUAAUGCUUCUCACAUACGUCUUAUGAGGGCAUCGGAUCUGAAAGUGUCCCAAAUGCUUCUGCUGCCGAGCUUUCUAGUACUUGGACAUCGCUGGACAGCAGAGGAGAAUUGGUGAGCUCUGCUCCACUUGGAAGGGUUACCAGUUUUUGGUUGGCAGGAAUGAUGGGUUUGAACAAUGUGGACUGUUGUACCUAGAGUUUACCUGCUCUUUCCCUUCCUAACCCAGCAGAAAUAUAGUAUCUGACUUCCAAACUUAGCCCAAAUUAAUGCCGUGCGUGCCCCUUUUCAACAAUACCAGAAAUACGUGUGCUUUUUAAAAACUUCAUCCAUGAAACACACUCCUUUUCUUGUGCCCUUCUAGGUGCCCCAUAAUUUGAUGAUAAAACAUCUGGGCGCUGCCGAGAAUGCAAAGUCUUGGCAGCAGGGCACUGUGUGCAUCUUACCUCCUCGGUGACCCCACCACCCAGCACAUCAGAGACACUGCUAAAUAUUUUGAAAUUAACCCAGGGAGAUGGCAUACAGAGACUGUUAUGAAAAUCGGAAGUUUACUUUUAAGGAGAACGGGCCCUGGUUUGCAAGUACAUAGGACACUGUUUCUACAACUGGCUUUGAAGGUCAUCUGUGCUUGAGACUUGCACUGGAACAGGGCACACAUGUUUGUCAGGCUCAGGGGCCGAGCAGUGCCAAGGUCAGCCAUGGUUAUCAUGGUGAUAGGGACUCAGAACUUGGUGGGGCCUGGAUAGUGGGCAAAAGAGAAUCCCUUCCGCAGCACGCAGCACGGAGCCCCCAAACAAGCACAAAUACACUCACAAUUGU
RNAcentral lists this long non-coding RNA (1809 nucleotides) under Heterocephalus glaber (naked mole-rat). RNAcentral describes it as "lncRNA (ENSHGLG00100048394.1)". Lineage: Eukaryota; Metazoa; Chordata; Mammalia; Rodentia; Bathyergidae. The record is from RNAcentral.